Molecule: long non-coding RNA, 469 nt
Filed under: Anas platyrhynchos platyrhynchos (common mallard)
Lineage: Eukaryota; Metazoa; Chordata; Aves; Anseriformes; Anatidae
Description: lncRNA (ENSAPLG00000027406.1)
Source: RNAcentral
UGCCCUGGUUCGUGCUGGCCGGGAACCACGACCACGCCGGGAACGUCACCGCGCAGCUGGCGUACAGCCACCGCUCCCCCCGCUGGCACUUCCCGCACCCCUACUACAGCCUCCGCCUGCGGGUGCCGGGCAGCAACGCCACGGCGCGGCUGCUGCUGCUGGACACGGUGCUGCUGUGCGGCAGCACCGAGGAUUUCGGGGCCGGGAGCCCACCGGCGGGCCCGGCGGCCGCCGCCCGCGACCGCUUCGUGCUGGUGGCCGGCCACUACCCGGUGUGGUCGGUGGCCGAGCACGGCCCCACCGCCUGCCUCCUGCGCCUGCUGCGCCCGCUGCUGCGGCGCCACCGCGUCACCGCCUACCUCUGCGGGCACGACCACAACCUGCAGGUCGGGGCACCCCCCCCGGGACCCCCCCCGGGUUUGGUUGGGGAGGGAUUCGUGGGAAUCUGACCCCCCCCCGGAUUUGGUUU